This 497-nucleotide ribosomal RNA is filed under the name uncultured bacterium. RNAcentral describes it as "partial 16S ribosomal RNA". It matches the Rfam family "Bacterial small subunit ribosomal RNA", at positions 28 to 507 of the family's 1533-position model. The record is from RNAcentral.
GAUGAACGCUGGCGGCGUGCCUAAUACAUGCAAGUCGAGCGAACAGACGAGGAGCUUGCUCCUCUGACGUUAGCGGCGGACGGGUGAGUAACACGUGGAUAACCUACCUAUAAGACUGGGAUAACUUCGGGAAACCGGAUCUAAUACCGGAUAAUAUAUUGAACCGCAUGGUUCAAUAGUGAAAGACGGUUUUGCUGUCACUUAUAGAUUGAGCCGAGCGUCAUUAGCUAUUUGUUAAGGUAACGGUUUACCAAGGCAACGAUAGAUAUCCGUACUGGGAGGGUAAUCGGCCACACUGGAACUGGGACACGGUCCAGACUCCUACGGGAGGCAGCAGUAGGGAAUCUUCCGCAAUGGGCGAAAGCUUGACGGAGCAACGCCGCGUGAGUGAUGAAGGUCUUCGGAUCGUAAAACUCUGUUAUUAGGGAAGAACAAAUGUGUAAGUAACUAUGCACGUCUUGACGGUACCUAACCAGAAAGCCACGGCUAACUACGUG